This 68-nucleotide transfer RNA is filed under the name Marmota monax (woodchuck). RNAcentral describes it as "tRNA.Ala". The record is from RNAcentral. Lineage: Eukaryota; Metazoa; Chordata; Mammalia; Rodentia; Sciuridae.
GGACUGUGGCUCAGCGGUAGAGUGCUCGCCUAGCACAUGCGAGGCCCUGGGUUCGAUCCUCAGCACCA